Molecule: ribosomal RNA, 779 nt
Filed under: uncultured Neocallimastigales
Lineage: Eukaryota; Fungi; Neocallimastigomycota; Neocallimastigomycetes; Neocallimastigales
Description: partial large subunit ribosomal RNA
Rfam family: Eukaryotic large subunit ribosomal RNA
Source: RNAcentral
CGAGCACGCGCGUGUGGCAUAUCAAUAAGCGGAGGAAAAGAAACUAACAAGGAUUCCCCUAGUAACGGCGAGUGAAGCGGGAAGAGCUCAAAUUUGAAAUCUUCAAGGUUUGACCUUGACGAAUUGUAGUUUAUAGAAGUGUUUUCUGUUAGAUGGAGUGGUAAAAGUUCUUUGGAAUAGGACAUCAUAGAGGGUGAGAAUCCCGUAUUUGAUCCAUUCCUUCCUAGCGUUGUGAUACACUCUCAAAGAGUCGGAUUGUUUGGGAAUGCAGUCCAAAAUGGGUGGUAAAUUUCAUCUAAAGCUAAAUAUUGGCGAGAGACCGAUAGCGAACAAGUACCGUGAGGGAAAGAUGAAAAGAACUUUGAAAAGAGAGUUAAACAGUACGUGAAAUUGUCAAAAGGGAAGCGUUUGACACCAGUGUUGUUUUUCCGAAAAUCAAUUACGAAUGUUUUAGUUUUUGAGGAGUUAUGACUUCAUCGGCUUGCUCCUUUCUUUACUGAAACUUUCUUAAUGCACUUUUCGGUUAACAAGUCAACAUCAAUUUCUUUUGUUGUAAAAGGGUAUGAGGAAGGUGGCUUUCUUUUCGGAGAAAGUGUUUAUAGCCUUGUGCCUCUGCAAUCGGAGAGAUUGAGGUCUGCAGCGUAGAUCCUUCGGGGUUAGAUACGUUUGUGCUAAGUUAUAGCUUUUCAUAGACAACUUGUUGACUAUGUUUAGUCUUGUAGCUUACUCGCUGAUGCUAUUUUACCUACGCUUAGGAUGUUGAACUCUAUCACACACAG